Non-coding RNA from Chelonoidis abingdonii (Abingdon island giant tortoise), 150 nucleotides. The record is from RefSeq and is a predicted model, not a curated record. NCBI's taxonomy places the organism in Eukaryota, Metazoa, Chordata, Testudines, Testudinidae.
UUCCUGUAGCUGAGGGAGAAAUCUGUGGGUGGGUCUGAUCCGGCCACGGAUGCUGUGCAGGGGAAGAGGAAGUCCCAUCCUCCCCAGCCCAGCCAGAACAAGCAGCUGAGCUCAGCGCACGGUAGGGAGCCUGCAGCCAGGUCUUCCUCA